This 1811-nucleotide ribosomal RNA is filed under the name human gut metagenome. RNAcentral describes it as "bacterial LSU rRNA". It matches the Rfam family "Bacterial large subunit ribosomal RNA", at positions 1098 to 2925 of the family's 2925-position model. The record is from RNAcentral.
AGGUUGGCUCAGAAGCAGCCAUCCUUUAAAGAGUGCGUAACAGCUCACUAGUCGAGUGACCCUGCGCCGAAAAUGUACCGGGGCUAAGCCUGAUACCGAAACUGCGGAUUGUAGGAAACUAUAGUGGUAGGGGAGCGUUGUAUACGAGUAGAAGCCGUACCGUGAGGAGCGGUGGAUUGUAUAGAAGUGAGAAUGCCGGUGUGAGUAGCGAGAUGUAGGUGAGAAUCCUACACACCGAAAGCCCAAGGAUUCCAGGGGAAGGUUCGUCCGCCCUGGGUAAGUCGGGACCUAACGCGAGGCCGAAAGGCGUAGUGGAUGGAAAGCAGGCGAAAGAUUCCUGCACCCGUAUAUGGAGCGAAGGAGUGACGGAGACGGAUAGUGUGACCCUCUUAAUGGAUUGAGGGCGAAGCGAAGCGGCUGGUUACCAGGCAAAUCCGGUAACUGAAAGGCUAGAGCGUGACAGGUAAGCGAAAUCUAAGGAAAGUAGCGAAGCACAUGAUGACGGCUUCCAGGAAAAGCUUCUGGCAAUGCAUAUGCGGCCCGUACCAAAACCGACACAGGUGGGCAGGGAGAGAAUCCCGAGGUGAGCGAGAGAACUGUUGCCAAGGAACUCGGCAAAAUGACUCCGUAAGUUAGCGAGAAGGAGUGCUUAAGCAAUUAAGCCGCAGUGAAGAGGCCCAAGCGACUGUUUAACUAAAACACAGCUCUCUGCGAAGUCGCAAGACGAAGUAUAGGGGGUGACACCUGCCCGGUGCUGGAAGGUUAAGAGGAUCUGUUAAGAGCGAUCUGAAGCAGUGAUCCGAAGCCCCAGUGAACGGCGGCCGUAACUAUAACGGUCCUAAGGUAGCGAAAUUCCUUGUCAGGUAAGUUCUGACCCGCACGAAAGGUGUAACGAUUUGGGCGCUGUCUCGGCAGCAGACUCGGUGAAAUCUUAGUACCUGUGAAAAUGCAGGUUACCCGCAACUAGACGGAAAGACCCCAUGGAGCUUUACUGCAGCCUGAUAUUGAAUUCUGGUCAUACAUGUACAGGAUAGGUGGGAGACAAAGAGACGUGCACGCCAGUGUACGAGGAGUCGACGUUGGGAUACCACUCUUGUGUGACCGGGGUUCUAACCUGGUAUCGAGAACAGGUACGGGGAGAGUGUCAGGUGGGCAGUUUGACUGGGGCGGUCGCCUCCCAAAGAGUAACGGAGGCGCCCAAAGGUACGCUCAGAUUGGAUGGAAACCAAUCGACGAGUGCAAUUGCAGAAGCGUGCUUGACUGUGAGACUUACAAGUCGAACAGGGACGAAAGUCGGGAAUAGUGAUCCGGCGGUGCCGAAUGGAAGGGCCGUCGCUCAACGGAUAAAAGCUACCCUGGGGAUAACAGGCUGAUCUCGCCCAAGAGUUCACAUCGACGGCGAGGUUUGGCACCUCGAUGUCGGCUCAUCGCAUCCUGGAGCUGGAUUCGGUUCCAAGGGUUGGGCUGUCCGCCCAUUAAAGCGGUACGCGAGCUGGGUUCAGAACGUCGUGAGACAGUUCGGUCCCUAUCUGUUGUGGGCGAAGGAGAUCUGCGGAGAGCUGUCCUCAGUACGAGAGGACCGGGAUGGACCUACCGCUGGUGCACCGGUUGUUCCGCCAGGGGCAUAGCCGGGUAGCUAAGUAGGGAAAGGAUAAGCGCUGAAAGCAUCUAAGCACGAAGCCUACUCCAAGAUGAGAUCUCCCAUUCGCAAGAAGUAAGACCCCUUAAAGACGAUAAGGUAGAUAGGCCAGGGAUGGAAGUGCAGUGAUGUACGGAGUUGACUGGUACUAAUCGGUCGAGGACUUAAUCAG